Molecule: long non-coding RNA, 150 nt
Organism: Mobula hypostoma (lesser devil ray)
Lineage: Eukaryota; Metazoa; Chordata; Chondrichthyes; Myliobatiformes; Myliobatidae
Exons: 4
Source: RefSeq, a predicted model, not a curated record
CCUGAUUCAGCAAUAUUGACUGAAGAUGAAAUGUGAAAUCAGCAAUUUCUGAUCAAACAUAGAGGUAGAGAAUCUAGCCCUAUAAAAUGAGUGAUGGACACUAAAAAAAAAAUGGACAAAGAGAACAAAUAACUGCUAUUCAUGGAUUUU